Non-coding RNA from Pangasius djambal, 74 nucleotides. NCBI's taxonomy places the organism in Eukaryota, Metazoa, Chordata, Actinopteri, Siluriformes, Pangasiidae. The record is from the annotation of a GenBank genome assembly.
UUGUGGAUGACUCAGUGGUUAAGGCAUUGGACUUCUGAUUGGAGGGUCGUGAGUUCAAAUCCCGGCACCACCAA